This 299-nucleotide ribosomal RNA is filed under the name uncultured Pseudomonas sp. Its description in RNAcentral is "partial 16S ribosomal RNA". It matches the Rfam family "Bacterial small subunit ribosomal RNA", at positions 1080 to 1382 of the family's 1533-position model. The record is from RNAcentral. Lineage: Bacteria; Pseudomonadati; Pseudomonadota; Gammaproteobacteria; Pseudomonadales; Pseudomonadaceae.
UUAAGUCCGUACGAGCGCAACCCUUGCCUUAGUUACCAGCACGUUAUGGUGGGCACUCUAAGGAGACUGCCGGUGACAACCGGAGGAAGGUGGGGAUGACGUCAAGUCAUCAUGGCCCUUACGGCCUGGGCUACACACGUGCUACAAUGGUCGGUACAAAGGGUUGCCAAGCCGCGAGGUGGAGCUAAUCCCAUAAAACCGAUCGUAGUCCGGAUCGCAGUCUGCAACUCGACUGCGUGAAGUCGGAAUCGCUAGUAAUCGUGAAUCAGAAUGUCACGGUGAAUACGUUCCCGGGCCUU